AAUAAUAAAUUAUCACAAUCGUUGGUUGUGGAAUUGGGCUCUUAUUUCGAAUAGAUUUAUGGCCUUAAAUUUAUGCCAUGUGCUUAAUUCGAAUCAAACGGAGCAAUUAAACAUUCUCUCGUUAGACGGAUUACUCACAAGCCAUUAUGAUUUUUUGGACGAUAAAGCACUUCGAGUGCGAAGCCCCAAAGUCAUAAAAUUCAUUGAC
RNAcentral lists this unclassified non-coding RNA (208 nucleotides) under uncultured Entrophosporaceae. RNAcentral's name for it is "uncultured Claroideoglomeraceae sequence contains ITS2". The record is from RNAcentral. Lineage: Eukaryota; Fungi; Glomeromycota; Glomeromycetes; Entrophosporales; Entrophosporaceae.